AAUUCAAAAUACUGAAUACUCCAAAAAUUAAGCAUACCUCCUUCGCCUUCUUGGCCGCCAGCUUUGCAUGAUACUUUUCAAGCUUAGCCGCCUUUUGGCGUUCACGCUCUACUAUAUAGAUGUUAGAAAUGAUAAGGUGAUGCAUAUGAAUUUGUAUUUCAACAACUCACAUUCUUUCUCGGUUUUAGGCCUAGGCUCACCAGAACCAGGUGCGGAAGAAUCCUUCAAUUAUUAGAAACCAAUUGACAAAAGUUCAACUCACCUUAGACUGAGCAGCUUCACAGCCUUUGUCUGCCAUUGGAAAAGUGUGUUGUUGAAAGAAUUGUUCGGGUGCAAUAAAAAGUCACAUAACGAACUUGUCAUUAAACGUUACAAGUGAUUAAAGGAUUUGCAUUACGCUGCACUCCCCGGUUAACGAAUUUUAAGACACUUGAAAUCAAUAAUGAAUCCUUGUAAACAGCGUUCGUUAUCUACAUGUUUUUUUUAAUAUCAUUUAAAUUUUUGCAUAUUUAUUAGUAUAAAUUGAACAGUAGUUGGUUCUCUUUUAAUUAUGCUUCAUCGGUCUCCUUGUUGCUGAGAGCAAAAUGUUUGCACUCAUCAACAAGCAUGGUUUAAAUGUCGUCGUUAUUGCACUCUUAAUAGAUGGCUUUUAUAGUUGAUAGCUAUGAUUUUGUUAAUUUCAAGUAGCAAUUUUUAAUUUGAUUUGUUUAAUCUUUGCAAAUCAGCAGGAAUAUCAGCAUCACUACAACAAAUCAAGGACUAUAAAGUAGGAUGGAAAAAAGAAGUCCUGAGACAAGAUUCAACGUAAAGGUGCAAAAGUUUAAUAAAAGAAUUUAGUUUAUAGCAUUGGAUUGUUAAAAAAUCGUCUUAUCGACCAGUAGUAUAAAAAGAU
Non-coding RNA from Schizosaccharomyces pombe (fission yeast), 892 nucleotides. NCBI's taxonomy places the organism in Eukaryota, Fungi, Ascomycota, Schizosaccharomycetes, Schizosaccharomycetales, Schizosaccharomycetaceae. The record is from the annotation of a GenBank genome assembly.